AAUGAACGCUGGCGGCAUGCCUAACACAUGCAAGUCGAACGAAGCCUUCGGGCUUAGUGGCGCACGGGUGCGUAACGCGUGGGAAUCUGCCCUUGGGUUCGGAAUAACAGCGAGAAAUUGCUGCUAAUACCGGAUGAUGACGUAAGUCCAAAGAUUUAUCGCCCAAGGAUGAGCCCGCGUAGGAUUAGCUAGUUGGUGAGGUAAAGGCUCACCAAGGCGACGANCCUUAGCUGGUCUGAGAGGAUGAUCAGCCACACUGGGGACUGAGACACGGCCCAGACUCCUACGGGAGGCAGCAGUGGGGAAUAUUGGACAAUGGGCGAAAGCCUGAUCCAGCAAUGCCGCGUGAGUGAUGAAGG
RNAcentral lists this ribosomal RNA (359 nucleotides) under uncultured bacterium. RNAcentral describes it as "bacterial SSU rRNA". It matches the Rfam family "Bacterial small subunit ribosomal RNA", at positions 29 to 414 of the family's 1533-position model. The record is from RNAcentral.